ACUCCUGCGGGAGGCAGCAGUGGGGAAUUUUGGACAAUGGGCGAAAGCCUGAUCCAGCAAUGCCGCGUGAGUGAAGAAGGCCUUCGGGUUGUAAAGCUCUUUUGUCAGGGAAGAAACGGUGAAAGCUAAUAUCUUUUGCUAAUGACGGUACCUGAAGAAUAAGCACCGGCUAACUACGUGCCAGCAGCCGCGGUAAUACGUAGGGUGCAAGCGUUAAUCGGAAUUACUGGGCGUAAAGCGUGCGCAGGCGGUUUUGUAAGUCUGAUGUGAAAUCCCCGGGCUCAACCUGGGAAUUGCAUUGGAGACUGCAAGGCUAGAAUCUGGCAGAGGGGGGUAGAAUUCCACGUGUAGCAGUGAAAUGCGUAGAUAUGUGGAGGAACACCGAUGGCGAAGGCAGCCCCCUGGGUCAAGAUUGACGCUCAUGCACGAAAGCGUGGGGAGCAAACAGGAUUAGAUACCCGGGUAGUCCCAU
Molecule: ribosomal RNA, 472 nt
Filed under: uncultured organism
Description: partial 16S ribosomal RNA
Rfam family: Bacterial small subunit ribosomal RNA
Source: RNAcentral